This 435-nucleotide unclassified non-coding RNA is filed under the name Geobacillus stearothermophilus. RNAcentral describes it as "16S-23S ribosomal RNA intergenic spacer". The record is from RNAcentral. Lineage: Bacteria; Bacillati; Bacillota; Bacilli; Caryophanales; Anoxybacillaceae.
AAGGACGAAAAGCGGAGGCCGCCCGCCUAUCGGCGAAACGCGCUGGAGGGCCUGCGAGGAGGCUGUUGCCGCCGCAGCAGGACCGAAGCGUCGCGAGCCGAUGGCGGCCGGAGCUAGACAAUUCGAAAAGCGGAGGCCGCAAUGGCCAACUGUCGAUACACAGCGCUUUCGUUUCGUUCGGUUUUGAGGGAAUGAGAAAUUCCUUCAGUUGCUUUGCGUCUGUGCCUGCGUCUGCUAGCAGGUUCAGGGAAGCAAGAUUUCUCGGCACAAAGCCGCAAGGAAGUUUGUUCAAAGAAGUCGCUUUGCGUCUACAAGCGGAUUCGGAGAAGCCGAAUUCCUCGACGCAAGACUGCAGAGAAGCAAAUUCAAGAAGCAGUCUCGUUCCUUGAAAACUAGAUAACCGGAAACGCAAAGGAAGAAGCCGAGAGCGCUGUA